GAUGAACGCUGGCGGCGUGCCUAAUACAUGCAAGUCGAGCGAACGGACGAGAAGCUUGCUUCUCUGAUGUUAGCGGCGGACGGGUGAGUAACACGUGGAUAACCUACCUAUAAGACUGGGAUAACUUCGGGAAACCGGAGCUAAUACCGGAUAAUAUUUUGAACCGCAUGGUUCAAAAGUGAAAGACGGUCUUGCUGUCACUUAUAGAUGGAUCCGCGCUGCAUUAGCUAGUUGGUAAGGUAACGGCUUACCAAGGCAACGAUGCAUAGCCGACCUGAGAGGGUGAUCGGCCACACUGGAACUGAGACACGGUCCAGACUCCUACGGGAGGCAGCAGUAGGGAAUCUUCCGCAAUGGGCGAAAGCCUGACGGAGCAACGCCGCGUGAGUGAUGAAGGUCUUCGGAUCGUAAAACUCUGUUAUUAGGGAAGAACAUAUGUGUAAGUAACUGUGCACAUCUUGACGGUACCUAAUCAGAAAGCUACGGCUAACUACGUG
This 497-nucleotide ribosomal RNA is filed under the name uncultured bacterium. RNAcentral describes it as "partial 16S ribosomal RNA". It matches the Rfam family "Bacterial small subunit ribosomal RNA", at positions 28 to 507 of the family's 1533-position model. The record is from RNAcentral.